CCUCCUUCUACGAUGAGUUUUAUCGCCUCUUCGUCCAUGCUCCAUCCUCACAUAUCUCGACCUCUAGCCACCAUGGGAUCCCAUAUCUCUACUUCUCUCGAAAGCUUGAAACCCCAGAAGCCUCCACCAUGAAGAUGGUUACUGAAGGCUUGUCGAGGUCCUAUUCCAUCCUUUCUCCGAUGGAUUUUGGUUCGAUGAUGCUAAAAACGUCAUUAUCUUUGAGCUUCACGGCCAGGUUUCUCCUACCCCUCUCACUGGUUUCUUAUGGAACCUAAUCUUAACCCAAACUUCUCAAACCUCUGAUUUUUAACUCAUACCUUCAUGUUUUACACUAUUUUUUACUCGAUCUUCACGAUUAUUUCAGUUUUAAGCAAUUUAUGUUCCCUUUUGAAACUAGGUUUCUGACUCCUUUUCGAAAUCACUUUAUCUUCUAGUUUUGAGUAUUAAUUCGUGAUUCUCAGUGUAUUUUCUAAUUAUUUUUGCUAAGUCUGAUGAAACCCUAACUUUGUAUGUCUGUGUUUGCAUUAUUUGCUUGUUUUGUUCUUCUGAGUUCUUCUCCAAGUACUAUGCUCCUUGCUUUGAUGUUGUUGUUAGAGUUUCGUGUUCUUCACUUAAAGUUUCUCUUAUUUCUUGCAUGGUGGUUUUUACAUUGAUUCCCCGAACCCUCUUUGAGACUGUGGUACUUGCUUUCAAAUUGUAACUCUGCGUAUUUUCCUAUAGUUUGAAUUUCUUCCUUAAUUUAUGGGAUACUUUUCUCAGUUACUACUGAUUCCCUAGGGUUUCAAUCUCGG
RNAcentral lists this long non-coding RNA (791 nucleotides) under Nicotiana benthamiana. RNAcentral describes it as "long non-coding RNA (NBEN_LNC016810)". The record is from RNAcentral. Lineage: Eukaryota; Viridiplantae; Streptophyta; Magnoliopsida; Solanales; Solanaceae.